RNAcentral lists this long non-coding RNA (500 nucleotides) under Ictidomys tridecemlineatus (thirteen-lined ground squirrel). RNAcentral's name for it is "lncRNA (ENSSTOG00000032864.1)". The record is from RNAcentral. Lineage: Eukaryota; Metazoa; Chordata; Mammalia; Rodentia; Sciuridae.
UCUCUUAAGGCCUCAGUCACAACGGAAGCUGAGGAUGGGUUGCUUGUUGUCCAUGCUUUCUCAAGCCACUGGCAGUAUUAGUUCCUUGUAGCUGGAUACAUAAUUGUUUCAUUUCUUCACAGCCAGCAAUCAAGAGGGAGAAUCUAAAACCAGUCUGCUAGAAGAGUCUUCUAUCACAUAGCAAGGGAAUGGAAUGGCUUACUCCUCUGCCCUCUGCUGGUUAGAAGCAAGUCACGGUCCCUUCCACACCUAAGGGAAAAGAGUUACAUGCCAAACCUCAGAAGAUCUGAGAAUUCUGUCGGCCACAUCACCCAAGGAUCCUCCUCUGGUCCCAUACAUCAGAACUACUUGGGAAAAAGAACAAGAAACACAAGAAGAGGAGCGUUUGAUGGAAGAAAAGAAAAAGAAAAAGCAGGAAGAAAAGAAAAAGAAGGAAGGUGCUCAGAAAAAGGUUUGACCGGAGUUACUAACUUCAUUGUCUCUGUGAUCAUUGUGUCUCG